AUUGCCCCAGUAACGGCGAGUGAAGCGGCAUGAGCUCAAAUUUUAAAUCUGGCGUCUCCGGCGUCCCGAGUUGUAAUUUGGAGAGGCAUCUUCGGGGGAUAGCGUCAGACUAUGUUCCUUGGAACAGGACGUCACAGAGGGUGAGAAUCCCGUGCCCGCCUGGCUGUCUGGUCCCUUGUGAAGUGCCUUCUACGAGUCGAGUUGUUUGGGAAUGCAGCUCCAAGUGGGUGGUAAAUUUCAUCUAAAGCUAAAUACGGGCGAGAGACCGAUAGCGCACAAGUAGAGUGAUCGAAAGAUGAAAAGCACUUUGAAAAUAGAGUUAAAAAGUACGUGAAAUUGUUGAAAGGGAAGCGCUUGAGACCAGACUCAGCCCCCAGCAAACAGCCUGCCCGUGUCAACGGGCGGCGCACUUGCCUCGGGGCUGGGCCAGCAUCGGUUGGGGUGGCGGGAAAAAGGCGACGGGAAUGUGGCUCCUGAGAAGGAGUGUUAUAGCCCGGCUGCGCGUAAUACCGCCCACCCCCACCGAGGGCCGCGCCACGGCGAGGAUGCUGGCACAAUGGCCUUCAGCGACCCGUCUUGAAACACGGACCAAGGAGUCUAACAUCUAUGCGAGUGUUUGGGCGUCAAACCCUUGCGCGGAAUGAAAGUGAAUGGAGGUGGGACGCGACCCCCUCGGGGGGAACUGCACCAUCGACCGAUCCUGAUGUCCUCGGAUGGAUUUGAGUAGGAGCAUAGCUGUUGGGACCCGAAAGAUGGUGAACUAUGCCUGAAUAGGGUGAAGCCAGAGGAAACUCUGGUGGAGGCUCGCAGCGGUUCUGACGUGCAAAUCGAUCGUCAAAUUUGGGUAUAGGGGCGAAAGACUAAUCGAACCAUCUAGUAGCUGGUUCCUGCCG
This 893-nucleotide ribosomal RNA is filed under the name Balsamia aestivalis. Its description in RNAcentral is "partial large subunit ribosomal RNA". It matches the Rfam family "Eukaryotic large subunit ribosomal RNA", at positions 74 to 963 of the family's 3401-position model. The record is from RNAcentral. Lineage: Eukaryota; Fungi; Ascomycota; Pezizomycetes; Pezizales; Helvellaceae.